Molecule: long non-coding RNA, 2265 nt
Organism: Pan troglodytes (chimpanzee)
Lineage: Eukaryota; Metazoa; Chordata; Mammalia; Primates; Hominidae
Exons: 2
Source: RefSeq, a predicted model, not a curated record
CUCUUCCGGGGGCUGGGGCUUCCCCUGCGUGCCUCAAGCGCAGCUUCUGUACGCAACGGUGCCCACCUGGGCCGCAGCCCCUCUUCAGGUCCUCAUGUUUCCAAGCCACAGCCAGAAGCACACCUGGAGAGGGGUGAGAGCACGGACCCCCGCCUGGCCUGCCCUGUUCCCUCUGCCCAGGCAUUUCCUGAAGCCCCGGUGCCUCCCUGCGGAUGGGAAUUCCCCUCCAACCCCCAGCUCGCUGGGGCCCUGGGCCGGCCUGCAGGAGGGACCUCUGAGGGACCUCUGACACCCCCGUCGUCUUUCUGGGGCCCAGGGAGGGCCGGCUCAGCAAGGAAGGACCGAGGGGGUGGACGGAGCUGCCAGGCUUCCUCCCUCUUGCUGACCCUUGACGGGGCCUGCGUGGCCUCAGGGUGUGGACCCUCCUGGCUCAGGCCCUGGGGAUAUUAGCGGUGAUCUCCGCAGACUCUUCGCUCCCUUGGCGAAUUCCAUGCAACCCCACACAACCCUUCGAGGUGGAGGCUGAGGACCAGUCCUGUUUUACAGACAGGGUUUCACUGUAUCGAACAGGCUGGAGGGCGGUGGCACAAUCAUAGCUGACCACAGCCUCAACCUCCCGGGCUCAAGCCGUCCUCCUGCCUCAGACUCCAGAAGAGCUGGGACUACAGGUGCUCACCACCACGUCCAGCUAAUUUUAAAAUUUCUUUAUAGACAGUCUCAUUCUGUCAUCCAGGCUGGAGUACAGUGGUGUGAUCCCAGCUCAUUGCAGCCUCGAACUCCAGGGCUCAAGCGAUCCUCUUGCCUCAGCCUCCUGAGUGGCUGAGAUUAUAGGUGUGAGCCGCCGUGUCCAACUGGGCCUCAGUUUAUCCCCCGGUGCUGUGAGGGUGUGGCCCAAUUCGAGUCCUUAAAUUUCAGCCACUGCCCGGUGCCCUUCUUACUUUCACUCCCUGACCUGCCACGAUGUUGUUUGCUGUUUACUCAGUGUGUUUUAAAAAAUUAACUCAUUUUUUCCUUCCUUUUUUUAAAAAUUGCAUUCUCCCUCUGAUAUAAAAUUAGGUCACUUAAAAAAACUUAAAUAAUUAAAGAGAAAUGCAGUCUCUCCAGUAAAAACCUAGCAUCUCCUGCCAUGAAUUGAGGUUAAUUCAAACAUCACACACGGACAGAAUGAAGCGCUGGUGCCCGCUUCUGGCUGGUGCUCCUGGGGGCAGGGACCUUAGCUUGUGAGUGUCAAAGGGGCGGAUUAGCACCAAACAGGUGCAUUCUCCUCGUAUAAGAACUUCCUCACUCUCGAACUGUCCUCGUAUCUCCUAAAACCAUCUCUCAACCCCAACACGUUUGUCUCCCGUUUUGGGAAUUGCAGGGGGAGCAGAGACGAGGCUUCGAUGUCAGGAAGCAAAACGUGAGCUCGUUGGACACAAAAUAAAGAACAUUGUUAAGUAAGGAAGGAGAAUGUGAGAGGGCAGGGACCCGGGGAGCUCAUGGCAGGAGGGGGGAUGCUGGGGAGCUCACAGUAGGAGGGGGGACCUCGGGGAGUGCACAGGAGGCCUGUGGGCACCCGGCAGUGAGUGAGUGGCGAGCAAACGCUCCUUCUCGGAAAGGCAGGUGCCUGCAGGUGCGGAAGUAGCUGCUUGGUCCCCAAUGUGUCAGUUUGGGAGGUACAGAAAAUGAGAGGGUGACAGGAAGCUUCCGGCCAGGCUUGGAGAGAGGGCUGUGCUUUCUUCCUUCUGUAGUUUCUUUCUUUCUCUCUCUCUCUCUUUCUUUUUGAGAUGGAGUCUCACUCUGUUGCCCAGGCUGGAGUGCAGUGGUGCAAUCUCAGCUCAUGGCAACCUCUGCCUUUUGGGUUCAAACGAUUCUCCUUCCUCAGCCUGCCGAGUAGCUGGGAUUACAGGGCCACACCACCACACCCAGAUAAUUUCUGUAUUUUUAGUAGAGAUGGGGUUUCUCCAUGUUGGACAGGCUGGUCUUGAACUCUUGACCUCAAAUGAUCCACCCCCUGUCGGCCUCCCAAAGUGCUGGGAUUAUAGGUGUGAGCCACCGUGUCCAGCCCCUUCCCUAGUUUUCUCAUCUGGAAAAUGAGAAAGUCCAGGUUGGUGCUGUCCAAUGGAAAUAAAAUCUGAGUCUCAGGCGUAAUUUUACAUUUUCUAGUAGCCACAAUAAAAGUAAAAAGAAACCGGUGAAAUCAGUUUUAGUAAUGUGUUUAUUUAUCAAACCCAAUAUAGCCAGAAUGUUAUCAUUUCAACAUGUAAUCAAUAAAAAAUCUAGUAA